GCAUCAAUGUUUAAAUAAUUGAUGCAAUAUCGACUCUGUCGAAUAAAAUUCUAGGUAGAAUUAUGAUAAUGACAUUGUCUGCCUAUGUGUCUUGACCAAAUUACGUGCCAGCAGUCGCGGUAAUACGUAGAAGACUAGUGUUAUUCAUCUUUAAUAGGUUUAAAGGGUACCUAGACGGUAAAUCAAGCCUGCAAUAUGGGACUAAUGUACUAGAGUUACUUACGAGGGGGUAUUAAAGUACUGCUGGUGUAGAGAUGAAAUUCUGUCAUACCUCAUUUCAUAAGAAAUACUAUGGCACAGGUAUAGGCGAAAGCAUCCCCUUAUGUGAUAACUGACGUUGAAGGACGAAGGCUUUGUGUAGCGAACAGGAUUAGAUACCCCAGUAGUCAAAGCAGAAAAUGAUGAAUGUCAUAGAUUAGACAUAUAAUAGUUUAUUCUAUAAAUGAAAGUGUAAGCAUUCCACCUCAAGAGUAAUUUGGCAACAUUGGAACUGAAAUCAUUAGACCGUUUCUGAAACCAGUAGUGAAGUAUGUUGUUUAAUUUGAUAAUCCGCAAAAAACCUUACCACAAUUUGAAUAUUUAGAUUUUUGUUUCUUUUUUCU
This 602-nucleotide ribosomal RNA is filed under the name Rhizoplaca porteri. RNAcentral describes it as "SSU rRNA". It matches the Rfam family "Bacterial small subunit ribosomal RNA", at positions 399 to 1022 of the family's 1533-position model. Lineage: Eukaryota; Fungi; Ascomycota; Lecanoromycetes; Lecanorales; Lecanoraceae. The record is from RNAcentral.